Molecule: transfer RNA, 68 nt
Filed under: Marmota monax (woodchuck)
Lineage: Eukaryota; Metazoa; Chordata; Mammalia; Rodentia; Sciuridae
Description: tRNA.Val
Rfam family: tRNA (bases 5-65)
About the family: Transfer RNA (tRNA) molecules are approximately 80 nucleotides in length.
Source: RNAcentral
GGACUGUAGCUCAGUGGCAGGGCACUUGCCUUACAAGUGUGAGGCACUGGGUUCAAUUCUCAGCACCA